RNAcentral lists this long non-coding RNA (1051 nucleotides) under Anser cygnoides (Swan goose). RNAcentral describes it as "lncRNA (ENSACDG00005005189.1)". The record is from RNAcentral. Lineage: Eukaryota; Metazoa; Chordata; Aves; Anseriformes; Anatidae.
UCAAGAUAAUGCAAAACCACUGGAAAUAUAUUGAGAUAAAACAAUAUUUUAUCAGUGUACCGUAAACUAGAAUAUUAAGAUGGCCAAUAUUUUCUAAGAAAGAGCCCACUGUAGCUGAAACAAGAAAGUUUAUUUAUUUAUUUAUUUUGUCUACAGUUACAAGACAGUGACUCAUUUCAAUUUUGUCUGCCUUCUAAGAUAACCUAGUUUUGUCUGGUUUCCACCUCUCUCGGAUUAACUUCCUAAGGAACAGAAAUCAUAUCAUGUAAUGUACGUGAUGAACCAAAACUCAAUAUAACUCUUUUUUAUUGGGCAACUGCAAAACUGCUUACAGUCAACUAAUACAGUAAGAAACCAGAGACAAAGAAAUGGACACAUUCUGGAAAAGCAAAAAAAAAAAAAAAAAGUUUUGACAACUUAUUUCAUAGAGAAUAUUUGCUUAGCUUUAUAGCUUUACAUUAAGAUAUUAAUUAAUUUAAUAAAUUAGUAAAUAAGACAAAGAUUUGAUUACUGUAAUCAUAACGAGGCAUUGUGUCAUUAAAAGAAAAAAAAAAAAGGCACAUCAAUUUUAAAAUGGUAAAAAUAAAAAAAUAAAUCUUAGCUCUGAUCUCAAAUCCAGCCUAAUUUAAUGUUAAUUUAAUUGAAUUUGACCAAGAAAGUGCAUACUUACCUGUGUUACAUCUGUGCCAAUUAACCUUGGUUAACACGUCGAGUUAGAAUCUUAUACUUAAGAAAUUUCAUACUGAAGACUACUCCUAGUUGAUUUGAUGGUACACAGGUAUAUGAUGAUCAGGGUUGCCAUGCCACAAUUAGCAGAUGUGAAAAUAGAUAGAUUUUCAUCAUGGUACCAAAAUUUUGUUGUGUCAAGAAAUUUGUUGAGCUUGUUAUUUGAAAUUAUGAACUUUAUUUUAAUUAUUUUAAAAAUUCUCUCAAAAUGAUGAUUUCUGAAUUUUGGAACAAUAUGGAAAAACUACAGGGUCACAUUAAAUAUUUUACCUUUUUAGGAUCAAUAUAUAAUAAAUAUAUAUAUAUAUUUAAAACGUUUUUGACU